UUUGUUCCCACUUUAAUUCACUUCUCUUUAAUCUAAUGAUGGAGUCUAUAUUGUUGCUAAGAAUACACCAGUGAGAGAAUUUAAGAAACAAAUUAUUGAAGAAGCAAGAGUACAAAGAAUUGACUGUGUCCUUGAAUUAGACAAAAAGAGAUUACUAAAGAAGAAUUGAAGGUCACCUGGUAGAGUGUAUCUUGAUCAUCAAUUGAUUGAGAGAUAUUCAUAUAUAUGCUGGUAGUGAAAUGUAUAUGGAAAUAUUGAAAGAACCUGAAAAGAUGAAGCUCCCAACACAGAUGCAUGCAGGUGUAUGUUAGAAGAUGGUGUCCAUCAGAAUUUUCAGUUGAUCCAACAGAAGAAAGUUAAGUGGAGUUCCUGUUGAUGCCAUUUCUGUUGCAACAUAUUUGAGAUCAUUUCCAGCUGUGAUAUCACAUCUCGAUAUUAAGAAUGAGUUGGAAUGGAAUCAAGCAUCACUGUAUGAUGCUGAUGGAGAUGUCAUUUAUUACAAAGACAAUAGAAAACAAUUGAAGGAGAUCACAACUGAAGAAAGAGCAGGAUUUAAAAUGACAGAAAGCAAAAGGUCUGUUGCAUAAGACCAAUACUGCAGUAGCCAAUAAGCUGUCUUGCAUUCUGCAUGUGGCUUUAUGUGUAUGUUCAUCUUUAGGUUAUAGUGUUGCUGUUUAUGGCAUUGGGUCAUUGUAUGAUGUUCCAGGAGACAAAGGGGAUGAGGAUUGAGUACAUUUAGUGGCAAAGCGUGUAUAUGUGGCUUGUAGGCUGUCUCCCCUCUUCAGCUAUUGGUGAUAUUAUUUUAGAUCCAAUUGUGUUUGCAUUGUCUUUUUGAGCUUUGGUAGCUUUAUUAUCAUCAUC
Molecule: RNA transcript, 861 nt
Organism: Amphimedon queenslandica
Lineage: Eukaryota; Metazoa; Porifera; Demospongiae; Haplosclerida; Niphatidae
Gene name: ubiquitin carboxyl-terminal hydrolase 47-like
Exons: 6
Source: RefSeq, a predicted model, not a curated record